AAAGAUUAAGCCAUGCAUGUCUAAGUACAUGUGUAUUUAACACGAAACCGCGUAUGGCUCAUUAUAACAGCUAAUAUUUACUUGAUUUUGACUUUUAUCCUACAUGGAUAACUGUGGUAAUUCUGGAGCUAAUACAUGCAUAAAAGAUGUUUCUUUAUUGAAACAUUGCGUAUAUUAGUAUUAAAACCAAGCAUUCUUUUGAAUGUUUUGUGUUGAAACUGAAUAUAUCUGCUGAUCGUAUGGUCUUGUACCGACGACAUGUCAUUCAAGUGUCUGAUCUAUCGACUUUCUAUAUAAGUAUAUAGUACUUAUAUGGUUUUAACGGAUAACGGGGUAUUAGGGUACGACUCCGGAGAAAAUGCCUGAGAAACGGCGUUUACAUCCAAGGAAGGCAGCAGGCGCGAAAAUUACCCACUCUCAGUACGAGGAGGUAGUGACGAGAAAUGACAAGAUCUAUUCCUUCGGGGAUGGAUCAUUGGAAUGGUUUGAUUUUAAAAUCAUUAAAGAGUAUCAAUGAGAGGGCAAGUCUGGUGCCAGCAGCCGCGGUAAUUCCAGCUCUCAUACUGCAUUGAAUUGUUGUUGCGGUUAAAAAGCUCGUAGUUGGAUCUGUACAUAAUAGGUUAGUUUAUUCUUUACGGAAUAUAACUAAUACUAAAUGUUUUUUGUCAGAUUUAUUUACGGUUUUUACGAAUCGUAAAUUGUCUAACGAGUUUACUUUGAAUAAAUCAGAGUGCUCAAAACAGGCGUAAGCUUGUAUGGUUUUGCAUGGAAUAAUAGAACAUGACUAUGGUUCAUGUUUUAUUGGUUUUACUUACCAUAGUAAUGAUUAAAAGGAACAAACGGGGGCAUCCGUAUCGCAUGGCGAGAGGUGAAAUUCGUGGACCCUUGCGAGACGAACUACAGCGAAAGCAUUUGCCAAGAAUG
RNAcentral lists this ribosomal RNA (924 nucleotides) under Panagrolaimus detritophagus. RNAcentral describes it as "SSU rRNA". It matches the Rfam family "Eukaryotic small subunit ribosomal RNA", at positions 39 to 966 of the family's 1831-position model. Lineage: Eukaryota; Metazoa; Nematoda; Chromadorea; Rhabditida; Panagrolaimidae. The record is from RNAcentral.